RNAcentral lists this ribosomal RNA (314 nucleotides) under Biecheleria sp. RCC5522. RNAcentral describes it as "SSU rRNA". It matches the Rfam family "Eukaryotic small subunit ribosomal RNA", at positions 627 to 945 of the family's 1831-position model. Lineage: Eukaryota; Dinophyceae; Suessiales; Biecheleriaceae. The record is from RNAcentral.
CUCGUAGUUGGAUUUCUGCUGAGGAUGACCGGUCCGCCCUGUGGGUGUGCAUCUGGCUCAGCCUUGGCAUCUUCCUGAAGAACGUAGCUGCACUUGACUGUGUGGUGCGGUAUUUAGGACAUUUACUUUGAGGAAAUUAGAGUGUUUCAAGCAAGCGCACGCUUUGAAUACAUUAGCAUGGAAUAAUAAGAUAGGACCUUGGUUCUAUUUUGUUGGUUUCUAGAGCUGAGGUAAUGAUUGAUAGGGAUAGUUGGGGGCAUUCGUAUUUAACUGUCAGAGGUGAAAUUCUUGGAUUUGUUAAAGACGGACUACUG